Chelonoidis abingdonii (Abingdon island giant tortoise) is the source of this 148-nucleotide non-coding RNA. NCBI's taxonomy places the organism in Eukaryota, Metazoa, Chordata, Testudines, Testudinidae. The record is from RefSeq and is a predicted model, not a curated record.
CGAUGAGCAAGAAGCAGGAGAUGAAACUCCUGAUGUGGCCUUCAGGAACACCCACCCCAUCGCAGCUGAGCAUCUCCACCAGAUAAGAAAACGCCCAAGACACAGUAAAGAAGACAUGUUCCAGGAGGUCCUGCAGUGCUCCAAUGCA